RNAcentral lists this long non-coding RNA (1391 nucleotides) under Heterocephalus glaber (naked mole-rat). RNAcentral's name for it is "lncRNA (ENSHGLG00000033784.1)". Lineage: Eukaryota; Metazoa; Chordata; Mammalia; Rodentia; Bathyergidae. The record is from RNAcentral.
GUUAAGAAAACUGAGGCCUAGAGCAUUUAAAUAACUUGUUCCAAAAUGCUCAUAAGUGGUAAGAGUGGAUAGAUACUUGAAUGCAAGACACUUAACUCCAAGUCUCAAAUUUUUAGCCUGUAAGUCAGAGCAUGCUUUAGCUAGAGGAAAAGAUACUUGAAAGGGAAAAGGGUAGCUUGAAGAGGAGGUAAAGUUCAGAAAAAAGUGGUUUGGGCCAGAUGGAGGAAAGAGCUAAUUACUCUGUAAGUUGGAGGGAGCCAUUGAAGACUUUUAUUGGAGUGUGACGGCCACUGCAGGGCUUCCAGUGAACUACAGAAACAUUUGAGUUCAUCACUGUGCCAGACACGAUUCCAGGUACCUGAUGCUCCUACCCUUAUUUACACCUCUUAGCUACCCUGUGAGACAGGUACUGCUGAUGCCCCCGGCCCAUAAGGGAACCAAGGACGAGUACAGGGAGGUUAAAUGACUUGUUGGAAGUGGAAUUGAGUAUUGAUGAGUAAGAUGAACCAGAGGCAGAGUUAAGUCAGACCACUGUGGGAAUCUCUGAGAGACAGUGGAGGAAGGGAUGGGCAUAAAAGAGUUGGGGUACAGCUGAAGGGGCCGAGAGAGUCCAAUGGCAGAGGCUUCUGAGUUCCUCCAUGUAGGUUGCUGGUGUUGGGCAGAAUCCUUUGGAGUAUAAGAGGAGGGAGGGGAAGUCCCCUUCCUUUCCAAUUCCUCAACAGGCUUGAGGAGUCAGGUUGGGACAUUCUGCCUACAGAUGGGGCUAAAGGCCUGAGCUUAGGGCAGGUGGCAAGGCUGGGACUUAGCAAUGGGUGAAAUCCAUGGAGGUUCAAGUUGGUACAUAAGAAUGAGUGGUAGCCAGAGAGCUGGGGCCAAAGACAGAAAAUCACUGGGGCUCUCUGAACGCUUAGAUCCAAGGCUGCAUGGAAUGAUGGAGGUCAAGCAGGGUGUCCCAGUCCAUUUAGUGUUGUGGUCCCUGAAAACCACAGACUGAUAAAUUUAUAAAGAAGAAAGGCUUAUUCGGUUCAUGGUUCUGAAGCAGCAAGAGAAAAACCUGUUGGCGGGUAUCCAGACCUUCUUCAAGUCUCACUGUGAUCAAAACUGGGCUGGCAUCCUGGGAAAUAGAAAUAAUAGGCAAGAUCCCUCGUGGCUUCCAGCAGUCUGAGUGAGGAAACCAGGCAGAAACAUGGAGAGGUGUGGCCUGAGGCACCCGUGUGAAGGACAAAGCCCUUUCUCCGUAGGUCCUUGGUAACUGGGAGAGGAAGGCAGGGAACUGUGUCCUCUUUUAAAUUCAAGUAUGUAGAUGAAGGUUGAUCUUAUCAUGAUAAGACAGUAUAUGCUUCUCCAUCAGAUUGGCCUAAUGGCAAUUCUCGGUUUUGUGUUUAUCGAGG